GUAGUAACGUCAGAGGUAGUAACGUCAGAGGUAGUAACGUCAGCGGUAGUAACGUCAGCGGUAGUAACGUCAGAGGUAGUAACGUCAGCGGUAGUAACGUCAGCGGUAGUAACGUCAGCGGUAGUAACGUCAGCGGUAGUAACGUCAGCGGUAGUAACGUCAGAGGUAGUAACGUCAGCGGUACUAACGUCAGCGGUAGUAACGUCAGCGGU
Molecule: long non-coding RNA, 212 nt
Organism: Oncorhynchus keta (chum salmon)
Lineage: Eukaryota; Metazoa; Chordata; Actinopteri; Salmoniformes; Salmonidae
Exons: 3
Source: RefSeq, a predicted model, not a curated record